Molecule: ribosomal RNA, 424 nt
Filed under: uncultured prokaryote
Also listed under: 1 other name
Description: bacterial SSU rRNA
Rfam family: Bacterial small subunit ribosomal RNA
Source: RNAcentral
UGAGGAAUAUUGGUCAAUGGUCGGAAGACUGAACCAGCCAUGCCGCGUGCGGGAAGAAGGCCCUAUGGGUUGUAAACCGCUUUUGACCGGGAGUAAUAAGGGGCGUGCGCGCCCCGAUGAGAGUACCGGUGGAAUAAGCAUCGGCUAACUCCGUGCCAGCAGCCGCGGUAAUACGGAGGAUGCAAGCGUUAUCCGGAUUUAUUGGGUUUAAAGGGUGCGUAGGCGGACCGUUAAGUCAGCGGUGAAAUGUCCCGGCUCAACCGGGGAGCUGCCGUUGAUACUGGCGGACUUGAGUCCAAACGGCGCCGGCGGAAUAUGUAAUGUAGCGGUGAAAUGCAUAGAUAUUACAUAGAACACCGAUCGCGAAGGCAGCUGGCGAGGAUGGCACUGACGCUGAGGCACGAAGGCGUGGGGAUCGAACAGG